CUGACUUGUAGGGACAUGUAGACCCAAAUUGCAGCCCUUCACUGCACGGCUAAGUACAAAAGAGCUUUUUGUCUCUCUGAACUGUGCCGCUGGCUUUUCGGAAGGAAGCAUUAUCUGUUCAUUCAUGAUAAAAACAGAAGACCAUGCAUGUUAGUUUCCACCAUCUGAUAAAAGAAAGAGGAGAAAAAUCCCCAACCUACGUCACUGGAAAGGAUUUGAUUAUAUCUUAGUCUUCUUUGGAUGGGCUCUGAAUUUAGCUCAGACUUCGAUGUUUAUGAAAUCUUCACUGCAGACUGCAGUGAUCUUAUUUUCUGUUUCUACUGUGGUCUGAGAUAUAAUGAUACAUCCUGCAGUGACAGGUGGUGACAUAUCUGACCUGACGCAGUUGUUUAUUGUGUUUUAUUGUUUUAUUUUUAUUCAGAUAUCUGCUAUUGCUCUUUUUUUCCAUGCUCUGUGUGACAUUAUUAUAACGCCUGAGUGCAUUUUAUAUGUUUGAAGUCCACGGACUAACCUGGACUGUCUCAUAGUUCAGAGUUUUGAAUGUGGUGGUGCAGUGAAGCAAGAAACAAAGAUGGUGCAGGCAGCUGGUUGAAAAGAGUCUGAUUUUGAGGCUGGUGUGCAGCCGAGAUAAAGAUGACAUGAAAAGAGUCCGUGAAGCGAGGAUAAACCUGACAAGAAGACAUUAUUUUUAGCUAUAGGAGUUCACUCAAACAUUAAUCUGGUGAAUAGGAAGGAUUUUAAUUCUGAAGACUUUUUAACACAAUCUGAGUCAGUUGGUGCUUUCAGCCCCUGACAGUUCGGCUCGUUUCCUGUCCUGAUGCCUCAGGAUCUCACCCUUUCUCCUGAUCUGCAUCCUCGCCUGUUGUGCUGCCUUCAGGCGUUGAAACUCAUCAGAAAACUGCUCAGUCAUGAUGUUCAAGUUAGUUUUAAAUACAAUUUGUUUGCUGUUUGCACGUUUGAGGUCUGUGGUGAUGCUACAGAGGUCAGAGGGACUUCCUCUGAGCUCUAAAAGCAGCAGCUGCUCUGAAAACAGUCCAGAGGUUUCUGAUUUUUAUCGAUCUGUUCUCAGAACUUUUAAGAAUUUAUGUCUUUAUUUAUCUGAUGUACUCAAUAUGUUAAUAUUUCACUUUUUGUUUUUUGUUUUGUUACUCCCCACUGAUCUUCUUUAGUUUGUCAGUUCAAAUGUUGUGGAUCCUUAAUAUCCAGUCUGACUCUGACAGAGUGACGAGCCAAGUUCAUUGUAAAUAUCCACUGUCCAAAAAAAGAAUAAAAUAGAUAUUUGAAGCUCCAAAGGGACAGUGCAAUGUGUAAAAGGAAAGUGGAAGAAGAUGGACAGGUGUUCAAAAUUAAAACCUGAAAAACUGAAAGUGAGCAGGAUGAGCGGUCAUAUCAGGAGUCAGCAGGAGGAACGAGGUAUGAAACUCGUGGAGAGAAAUGAGGCCUCCCUCCAUGUUUAGCUGUUGUUUGUAUACUUUGUGUCCAGCAUCAGU
This is a long non-coding RNA of Oreochromis aureus, 1490 nucleotides long. NCBI's taxonomy places the organism in Eukaryota, Metazoa, Chordata, Actinopteri, Cichliformes, Cichlidae. The record is from Ensembl.